Molecule: ribosomal RNA, 867 nt
Filed under: uncultured archaeon
Lineage: Archaea
Description: bacterial SSU rRNA
Rfam family: Archaeal small subunit ribosomal RNA
Source: RNAcentral
UUCUCUGGUUGAUCCUGCCGGCGGUCACCGCUCUUGGAAUCCGACUAAGCCAUGCGAGUCGAGAGGGUUCGGCCCUCGGCGCACCGCUCAGUAACACGUGGAUAACCUACCCUGGAGUGGGGGAUAAUCUCGGAAACCUGAGGAUAAUACCCCAUAGGCCUUUGGUACUGGAAUGUUCUUAGGCCCAAAGUUACGGCGCUCCAGGAUGGGUCUGCGGCCUAUCAGGUAGUAGUGAGUGUAAAGGACUCACUAGCCGACAACGGGUACGGGCCAUGGGAGUGGUAGCCCGGAGAUGGAUUCUGAGACACGAAUCCAGGCCCUACGGGGCGCAGCAGGCGCGAAAACUUCGCAAUGCGCGAAAGCGCGACGAGGGGAUUCCAAGUGCAUGCACUUAGUGUAUGCUGUUUGCUAGUCCAAAUAGCUAGUAGAGUAAGGGCUGGGUAAGACUGGUGCCAGCCGCCGCGGUAAUACCAGCGGCCCGAGUGGUGAUCGUUAUUAUUGGGUCUAAAGCGUCCGUAGCCGGCCCGGUAAAUCUCUGGGUAAAUCGUUGGGCUCAACUCAGCGAAUUCUAGGGAGACUGCCGGGCUUGGGACCGGGAGAGGUCGGAGGUACUCCGAGGGUAGGGGUGAAAUCCUGUAAUCCUUGGGGGGACCACCGGUGGCGAAGGCGUCCGACCAGAACGGGUCCGACGGUAAGGGACGAAGCCCUGGGGCGCGAACCGGAUUAGAUACCCGGGUAGUCCAGGGUGUAAACGCUGUGCGCUUGGUGUUGGGGGUCCUUUGAGGGCAUCCAGUGCCGGAGAGAAGUUGUUAAGCGCACCACCUGGGGAGUACGGUCGCAAGACUGAAACUUAAAGGAAUUGGCGGG